AGGCCAGGCUGGAUGUGGCUCUGGGCAGCCUGGUCUGCUGGUUGGUGACCCUGCGCAUGGCAUGGGGGUUGAAGCUAGAUGAGCAUUGUGCUCCUUGUCAGUGCAGGCAAUGCUGUGAUACUAUGAUUCUAUGAUUCUACGUUUCUUUGAAACAUCACAAACAUGCUUGUGUCGUGUCCUCUGUCAAGGCCUUGGCCUUUGAGUCUCUAUUGCUGUGGCCCUGUAUGCUGGGACAUCUUUCCCCACAUCCCCAGAAUCAUCUGGGCACUCAGUCUAUGCCACAAAUGCACAUGGACAUCAAAAGCAGGAGCUCCAUGGCAUUAAGCAAGCAGUGAGAGCAGAGUACACUGCAAUACAGCAGAACAUUUCUCAAGAUCAGGCUCAGCAAGACACAUUCAGCACUGAAGAUCUUCAGCACUGGUUUUUAUCCCAGGAGGUGAAUGGUUACUCUGGUACUGGGCAGUAUGAGCGGGGUAGAUGGGAGAUGAAGCAGAUGCCACUUGAGGAUCUUCUCUCUUCUGGAAUCAGCCUCCUCCUUACAGGAGAGAGCCUGCAUGGCUGUGAUGGAGAAAUGUGCUUGUUGAACCCCCAUGAGGAUUUGGUUUGUUUAAUCUGGCUAGAAUGAUGGUAAAAUGAGAGCAUUCUGCAAGAAUUUUCCUGGUGUGAGACAUCACCAAAAUUGAUCUCAUUUUAAACAUUCCACUGUGGCUGAUGAGAAAUGUGUGUGAAACUAUCUGCUGCUCAGAAGAGCUCCUCUUUCACAAUCCUUUCAUCAAACAAAACUAAGUAUUUGUGCUGGAUUUAUUUAUUUAUUUAUUUAUUCGUUCGUUCAUUCAUUGCACAGCCAUCUCUGGUGCACUACACCACGUUGUGACACCAGCUUUCAAAACCACUCUCCCCUGCUGCAAGGUUGCAGCAACAUUUCAAAAGCUCUUUGGUGCACCACAAGGAAAGCAUAACUCAGAAGAGGCAGAAUUGAUGUUUCAGAGAAGCUGUUCAUCACUCAUUAACGUCUCAGCUGUGUUGAGUGCAGUAGCAGUGAGAAAUGCAAGCUGCUGGGGGCUUUAGAAGUAGUUCAUCCAUGGAUGGUAAAUUGUACUGAGUCACUUCAUAGACAUUUUCCAACAAGAAACUAUCACAAAGCUAGAACUUUUAAGUGAAUGUUUAAAUCACUACAUAAUUGUUUUCAGGGUGAUAUCAGAACGUGGAAUAUACAUCUAGAAAUGUUAUUCUCACACAUUAAAAGUCAACAGAGUGUGUGGUUAAUGUACAAACCCCAACAAAGAUGAAUUCAGAUUAAGGACUUGUCUGAAGACACUGAUAUCUGAUAUGCAGUGCUUAGGGAUAUGCUGGGAAAUUGUAUUUAUAUUAGCUGAUUGCCAUUAACUUCUGAAGUGUGUUGUCCUUUUUUUCCCUCAUAGUCACAACAUUUCAGAAACAAGUGUGAAACAAUAGAUAAUUGCAUUUUACAACUAAAAAGAUAAAACUCCUGUGUAAGCAAUCACUGCUAAUCAGGAAUUUUGGUAUGGAAAGGAUGGGAGAGGAACAGAGCCGCACAUUUCCAAGCAUGAGAAGAUUUUGAAUCGAGUGGAAAUGGUUGGUGUCACACAGAGAAUAUGCUAUUU
This 1625-nucleotide long non-coding RNA is filed under the name Phasianus colchicus (ring-necked pheasant). RNAcentral's name for it is "lncRNA (ENSPCLG00000022250.1)". Lineage: Eukaryota; Metazoa; Chordata; Aves; Galliformes; Phasianidae. The record is from RNAcentral.